RNAcentral lists this long non-coding RNA (2991 nucleotides) under Salmo salar (Atlantic salmon). RNAcentral describes it as "lncRNA (ENSSSAG00000115123.1)". The record is from RNAcentral. Lineage: Eukaryota; Metazoa; Chordata; Actinopteri; Salmoniformes; Salmonidae.
CAGGCUCCCACUACUCAGAGCACUGCUCACACUAGAUGGGAUAAUGGCGCAGGAGGGGAUGGCUGCCGUAUUACGGGCUCCUAGCCAACUGUGCUAUUUUGUUAGUUUUUUUGCAUUGUUUGUAACUCUUUUUGUACAUGAUGUUGCUGCUACCACCUCUUAUGACCAAAAAAGCUUCUGGACAUCAGAACAAUGAUUACUCACCUCGAACUGGAAGAAGAUUCUUUUCUUUAAUGAGUCCGACGUGAAGGAUAUACUGCUUUGUCAUGACAAGGCCCAAAUCCCCGCCAUCAGCGUGAAGAAAAGACAGAGAAAAAGGGGAAGGAGGGCGGGGUGCCUUGUAAGAAUUUGCUGACGAGUAGAGACGUGGCUGAAUGACGACAUGGAUAAUAUAGAGCUGGCUCGCUUCUCCGUGUAUCGGCAGGACAGAGCAGCUACGUCUGGUAAGACGAGGGGCGGGGGUGUGUGUCUAUUUGUCAAUAACUGCUGGUGCGCGAUGUCUAAUAUUAAAGAAGUCUUGAGGUAUUGCUCGCCUGAGGUAGAAUACCUCAUGAUAAGCUGUAGACCACACUAUCUGCCAAGAGAGUUCUCAUCUAUACUAUUCAUAGCCGUCUAUUUAACACCACAAACCGAUGCUGGCACUAAGACCGCACUCACCAAGCUGUAUAAGGCCAUUAGCAAACAAGACUAUAGGAAAAGGAGGGCUGAACAGGCCCCCAUUAACAUUGACGGGGCUGAAGUGAAGUGGGUUGAGAGAUUCAAGUUCCUUGGUGUCCACAUCACCAACAAACUAUCAUGGUUCAAACACACCAAGACAGUUGUGAAGAGGCCAAGACAACACCUUUUCCCCCUUCGGAGACUGAAAAGAUUUGGCAUGGGUCCCCAGAUCCUCAAAAGGUUCUACAGCUGCACCAUCGAGAGUAUCCUGACCAGUUGCAUCACCGCCUGGUAUGGCAACUGCUCAGAAUCUGACCGUAAGGCUCCACAGAGGGUGGUGCGUACGGCCCAGUACAUCACUGGGGCCAAGCUUCCUGACAUCCAGGACCUAUAUACUAGGCAGUGUCAGAGGAAGGCCCAAAAAUGGUCAAAUACUCCAGUCACCCAAGUCAUAGACUGUUCUCUCUGCUACUGCAUAGAAAGCAGUACCGGAGUGCCAAGUCUAGGACCGAAAGGCUCCUUAACAGCUUCUAACCCCAAGCCACAAGACUGCUGAACAAUUAAUCAAAUGGCCACCCGGACUAUUUACAUUGACCCCUCCCCACCCUUAUGUUUUUGUUUUUUACACUGCUGCUACUCGCUGUUUAUUAUCUACGCAUAGUCACUUUACAAAUUACCUCGACUAACCUGUACCCCCACACAUUGACUCAAUACCGGUACCCCAUGUAUAUAGCCUCGCUAUUGUUAUGUGAAUUUCUUGUUUUACUAUUUGAUUUCAUUGAUUUUCAGCCAUCAACCGCAAAUCUGCUAUUUGCCUACAUUUUACAAGCUUCAGUGUUACGUUUUACUCCGGGUUUGCUCUGGCUAAAAAUGUGUGAUGUCCACCCUGCUUUAGAAAGCGCUCUACCACAAGCCAGAUUAGCAAAACAGACAAUGAUACCUCUGGUCCGCUCAAUGUACAUGCAUAACACUCAUACCGGACACCGGGCAUGUAACCUCGGCUGCUCCUCAGAAGCAAAUGGAGGAGGCGAAUAGGGAAAAAGUUUAAAAGCGAGAGACCUGAAGGACAUAGUAAUGACCUUUUUGGUGAAGGCUGCAUUUGGACGCAACGUCACCUUAGAGUUUCCAAGGGCAAACUCCAUACAGGAGGGAUGAACAGAAACGCAUGGAGAUCUCCAACUUGUUUACCCAAGGCUAAAGCCAUGAGCAGGGCUAUCUUGUAGGAGAUGAUCUUCAGAUCCACAGACUCCAUCGGUUCAAAGGGGGCCGCACGCAACACCUCCAAAACCAAAGCCAACUCCAAAGUGGACACAAUAGGUUCCAAAACCAGCCUGAGAUGGCACACACACCACCAGGGGAAGAGCGCAUGGUAGGGUUUGGCAGUAUCCAGAUUUACAAACCUUCAUACUGUGCCUCUGCCAUCCCGGGAUAUAUGGAAUUACAGGUAGUACACAUAAGGGGCGCAAUUAUUUUUUCAAGUGUAAAAAAGGCACAAAAAACAUCACUUACCAGAAUGCUAACAAAAUGCUAACAAUUACUAAGGGACUCUCAUAGCAGAUGCUAGAUAAAUGCUAAUGAGCACAUGCAAACAUUUACUACUAGGACAGACAACCCAGCUCAUAAUGUCAUGCAAGUAUCUCAAAACACAGUUUGCAGCACACACAAAACAACUAUUAUCUUAAUCCAGGAGGGUAUUGUCUCUGCUGCUGUUACCAAGAAGCUUGAUCUUGCAAGCUAACGUUAGCCACUUAGCUAACAUUACCAAGUUAGCAAAACCCAGCUGGAGAGAAUUUAUUUGGCACAUCUUAGAUAGUUAACUUAAUAGUUGCAAGAUAUAUAGCUGGCAAACAUUAGUAGUGAAUUUCAUACAAGUGUAACUUGAUCACCUCACUUAAGUUGCACUGCAGAGAUGACUCACCUCACAAAGCUACCAUUUUGUUCAUCGUGCUUCUUUAUAAAACAAACACAUGUGACUGACUCAAACCAUAACUAGUACCGGUAAGUUUCAUAAUGAAAAAUAUUCAUAAUGAAAAAUUAUCAAACGGGCGAAAUGAUGAACGCAAUAUGCUUUAUCUAUUACCUGGUGCAUAAGUUCAUCUCGGGCCUAACAACUAGCGUACCAAUAUAUUCUCCAAACACCGGCUUCUUAGGCAUUAUCACUUAAAUGUAAAUACUGUAGCUACCUCAAUUACCUCGUACCCCUGCACAUCGACUCGGUACUGGUUCUCCCUGUAUAUUCCCAUGCUAUUUUUUUACUCGUUAUUGUUAUUCAUUAUUCACUGUGUAUUUAUUUCUUGUGUCACUUUAUCUUUUCCUUUAACUCUGCAUUGUUGG